UCUGCCCCAACAGUCAUUCUUCAUAUGACCACCGUGUCAUAAUGACUGUUGGGGCAGAGCAGACUUUUUGUGAGU
Molecule: small nucleolar RNA, 75 nt
Organism: Anoplopoma fimbria (sablefish)
Lineage: Eukaryota; Metazoa; Chordata; Actinopteri; Perciformes; Anoplopomatidae
Product: small nucleolar RNA SNORA17
Exons: 1
Source: RefSeq, a predicted model, not a curated record